This 253-nucleotide ribosomal RNA is filed under the name uncultured bacterium. RNAcentral's name for it is "partial 16S ribosomal RNA". It matches the Rfam family "Bacterial small subunit ribosomal RNA", at positions 524 to 776 of the family's 1533-position model. The record is from RNAcentral.
GACAGAGGUGCCGAGCGUUAGGCGGAAUCACUGGGCUUAAAGCGUGUGUAGGCGGGCCGUCAAGUGCCUCGUGAAAUCCCGCCGCUCAACGGCGGAACCGCCGGGCAGACUGACGGCCUUGAGGGACCCAGGGGCGAGCGGAACAGGCGGUGGAGCGGUGAAAUGCGUAGAUAUGUUAUAGAACACCGAUUGCGAAGGCAGCUGACUAAGCAUAUAUUGACGCUGAGGCACGAAAGCGUGGGGAUCAAACAGG